Molecule: ribosomal RNA, 326 nt
Filed under: uncultured bacterium
Lineage: Bacteria
Description: partial 16S ribosomal RNA
Rfam family: Bacterial small subunit ribosomal RNA
Source: RNAcentral
GAUGAACGCUGGCGGCGUGCUUAACACAUGCAAGUCGAACGAAGAAGGUUGGAAUGAGAGCUUCGGCAGGAUUUCUUUCCAUCUUAGUGGCGGACGGGUGAGUAACGUGUGGGCAACCUGCCCUGUACAGGGGGGAUAACAGUUAGAAAUGACUGCUAAUACCGCAUAAGACCACAGGGUCGCAUGACCCGGUGGUAAAAACUCCGGUGGUAUGAGAUGGACCCGCGUCUGAUUAGCUAGUUGGUGGGGUAACGGCUCACCAAGGCGACGAUCAGUAGCCGACCUGAGAGGGUGACCGGCCACAUUGGGACUGAGACACGGCCCAA